Carassius gibelio (silver crucian carp) is the source of this 1821-nucleotide long non-coding RNA. RefSeq lists it as uncharacterized. The transcript has 4 exons. NCBI's taxonomy places the organism in Eukaryota, Metazoa, Chordata, Actinopteri, Cypriniformes, Cyprinidae. The record is from RefSeq and is a predicted model, not a curated record.
AUGUUUGCAAAGUGUGCAGCUGGCUGAAGAUGAUAAGAACAUGUUCUGUAAUAACAUGUAAACACUCUCCAGUUCAGUUCAGAAGAGACGCCUUAAGGUGUGUGUUCGACUGCGAGAGCUUCAGCGCUGGACUGAAUAUGGAUCCUCUUCUGCUCAGCGAAGAUAUGAUGCUAAAACAGAAUGAAGAGAAAUGCAUGUCAGAUGAGUUGAUGGUCUAAUUAAACAUCAAAAAUGACAAAGAAAGAGGACGAGAGACAAUCUGAUGAACCCGGAGAGAAACAGACACCGAGACGAGUCAGACACAACAGCAUUAACGGUGGAAAACCAAACUUUUACCAUGAUUCAGACAGACCACCAGAGACGCUCACAGAUGAGAAAGCUGAGCUUCCUUUCAUCUGAACCAGCAGAAAACUCUCCAUCAUGUCCAGCCACUAAAUUAAGUGCUGUAUACUCUUUAUUGUUUUUAUUGUAUUGCAUUAUUACAUAUAUAUCCAUAAUAAUAUUAUCAGUAUCAACAAUUGUCAAGUUCAUAGUUAAGUUCAAAAACACAAUGGUAGAAGAUUUCUUACGAAAAAUAUUUUAUUUAGAGGCCAAAAGGUUGUAAAGAACUGCAAAGUGCAAAGAAAAACAUGAUCACCAUCAGUGUCAUAACAGACAAUAUUACACCUGGCUGAUUCUAUAUAUAUAUAUAUAUAUAUAUAUAUAUAUAUAUAUAUAUAUAUAUAUAUAUAUAUAUAUAUAUAUAUAUAUAUAUGGAUAUAGAUAUAUAUAUAUAUGGAUAUAGAUAUACAGCGCCAUCUAAGUAAACUAAUAGUUGAUUUUAAUUCAUACAAUUGGUUUUUAUGCUAUCAAUGUAUAUUAACAUAUGUAUACAAAACUAUUAAAAAAGUGAAUUAUACAGAAAUAUAAAUCAAAAAUAGAAAAAAUAUAUAUAAAAAAAUAAAUAAUAGAAAGAAAAAUAGAAAAAACAUAAAACAUCUAUUAUAUAUAAAAUAAAAAUAUAUUAAAAAUAAAAUUAAAUGUUUUACAAUUACAUUAUACAAAAAUAGCCAAAAAUAUGUACAAAUAUAUAAAUUAUACAAAAAUAUUAUCAAAAAUAUUUUAAAAUGAAAUAUACUCAAAUAUAUAUUUUUUUACAUGCACAAAAGUAAACAAAAAAUUAUUGUACAAAAAAUAGCCAAAAUAUUACAUCAAAAUCAUUUCUGAAUAAUGAAUGAAGUAACAUGAAAAACGAGUGACAAAGUUACAAAGAUUGUAACACUGGGCUUUACAUACACAAGGUAAUAAACCAUCCAGACACAUCUGGGGAUACAAUCAAGAGAACCAAUGAAACAGAAGAACUACAAACUUUCACAGGAAACAGGAAACUCAACAGAAGUCUAAACAGACGGAUAACAAGUACCAUAACAGUAAUAUCAAACUAUGAGUGUUGAUUGAGUUCAUCACUAAAGCUUUGAUUGCAGCUGGUGCACAUUUGGGAGCUGUUUCAUGCAAAGUGUGUUUUUAGGCUUUAUGCAAAACAGGUGGGUUAUAUGCACAGCAAUGAGUAGUGAACACAUAUAUUCAAAUUUCUUUCAGGAAACAAUCUUUAAGAGAGAAUGUAAAAAGUAAUUUGUUAAGUUUAAUUAAUUAAAUUGUGCAAACUUCUUGUGUGUCAUUUAAAUCUCUGCUAAUGUAUUAAAAGUAUUCCUUACUUAUUUUGAGUUCAAUUUACUUAAGCCAUUUAUGUUAUCUUAAUUUAAUUUAAUCUGUGGUCUGUGGAAUAUACUGACUCCCAGAGUGCAUUGUGUCAUGAAUAAAUAAUGCAAUUGCUUUGUUUUA